AAGUCGUAACAAGGUUUCCGUAGGUGAACCUGCGGAAGGAUCAUUACCGAGUGCGGGCCCUCUGGGUCCAACCUCCCAUCCGUGUCUCUUGUACCCUGUUGCUUCGGCGGGCCCGCCUUCAUGGCCGCCGGGGGGCUCUCUUGCCCCCGGGCCCGCGCCCGCCGGAGACUCCAACAUUGAACACUGUCUGAAGUUUGCAGUCUGAGUUUUCAUAUAAGAAAAAUCGUUAAAACUUUCAACAACGGAUCUCUUGGUUCCG
RNAcentral lists this unclassified non-coding RNA (259 nucleotides) under air metagenome. RNAcentral's name for it is "partial contains small subunit ribosomal RNA, internal transcribed spacer 1, and 5.8S ribosomal RNA". The stretch from base 1 to 46 matches the Rfam family "Eukaryotic small subunit ribosomal RNA", at positions 1786 to 1831 of the family's 1831-position model. The record is from RNAcentral.